UACGGCCAUAGAACCGAAGAACCACCACAUCCCGUCCGCUUUGUGCAGUCAAGUUCGGUAUCGCUCGGUUAGUACCAUGGUCGGGGACGACUUGGUAGUUUUUGUUUC
This is a non-coding RNA of Kwoniella newhampshirensis, 108 nucleotides long. The record is from the annotation of a GenBank genome assembly. Lineage: Eukaryota; Fungi; Basidiomycota; Tremellomycetes; Tremellales; Cryptococcaceae.